GUACACUCCUGCGGGAGGCAGCAGUGGGGAAUAUUGGACAAUGGGCGCAAGCCUGAUCCAGCCAUGCCGCGUGAGUGAUGAAGGCCCUAGGGUUGUAAAGCUCUUUCACCGGUGAAGAUAAUGACGGUAACCGGAGAAGAAGCCCCGGCUAACUUCGUGCCAGCAGCCGCGGUAAUACGAAGGGGGCUAGCGUUGUUCGGAUUUACUGGGCGUAAAGCGCACGUAGGCGGACUAUUAAGUCAGGGGUGAAAUCCCGGGGCUCAACCCCGGAACUGCCUUUGAUACUGGUAGUCUUGAGUUCGAGAGAGGUGAGUGGAAUUCCGAGUGUAGAGGUGAAAUUCGUAGAUAUUCGGAGGAACACCAGUGGCGAAGGCGGCUCACUGGCUCGAUACUGACGCUGAGGUGCGAAAGCGUGGGGAGCAAACAGGAUUAGAAACCCGUGUAGUCC
Molecule: ribosomal RNA, 448 nt
Filed under: uncultured organism
Description: partial 16S ribosomal RNA
Rfam family: Bacterial small subunit ribosomal RNA
Source: RNAcentral